GUGAGGAAUAUUGGUCAAUGGGCGAGAGCCUGAACCAGCCAAGUCGCGUGAAGGAAGAAGGAUCUAUGGUUCGUAAACUUCUUUUGCAGGGGAAUAAAGUGCGGGACGUGUCCUGUUUUGUAUGUACCCUGAGAAUAAGGAUCGGCUAACUCCGUGCCAGCAGCCGCGGUAAUACGGAGGAUCCGGGCGUUAUCCGGAUUUAUUGGGUUUAAAGGGUGCGUAGGUGGUUUGAUAAGUCAGCGGUGAAAGUUUGCAGCUUAACUGUAAAAAUGCCGUUGAAACUGUCGGACUUGAGUGUAAAUGAGGUAGGCGGAAUGCGUGGUGUAGCGGUGAAAUGCAUAGAUAUCACGCAGAACUCCGAUUGCGAAGGCAGCUUACUAAGCUACAACUGACACUGAAGCACGAAAGCGUGGGGAUCAAACAGGAUUAGAUACCCGAGUAGUCC
Molecule: ribosomal RNA, 445 nt
Filed under: uncultured bacterium
Lineage: Bacteria
Description: partial 16S ribosomal RNA
Rfam family: Bacterial small subunit ribosomal RNA
Source: RNAcentral